GGAUGGCGAGUUUGAUCCUGGCUCAGGAUAAACGCUGGCGGCGUGCCUAACACAUGCAAGUCGAACGAGUUCCCCUCCUUCGGGAAGGGAGCGAGUGGCGGACGGGUGAGUAAGACGUGGGUCACCUACCUUUCAGUGAGGGAUACCGGCGAGAAAUCGCCGACAAUCCCGCAUACGCUUCGCGUUCUGGAACGAGCGCCAAGCAAAGCUCUGCAAAGGGCGCUGGGAGAUGGGCCCGCGGCCGAUUAGCUGGUUGGUGGGGUAAGAGCUCACCAAGGCGACGAUCGGUAGCUGGUCUGAGAGGACGAUCAGCCACACUGGGAUUGAGAACGGCCCAGACUCCUACGGGGGGCAGCAGUGAGGAAUUUUCGGCAAUGGGGGCAACCCUGACCGAGCAACGCCGCGUGCAGGAGGAAGGUCUUCGGAUCGUAAACUGCUUUUCUCUGGGACGAGCAAGGACGGUACCAGAGGAACAAGCCCCGGCUAACUACGUGCCAGCAGCCGCGGUAAUACGUAGGGGGCGAGCGUUGUCCGGAGUUACUGGGCGUAAAGCGCACGCAGGCGGUGCUGCGCGUUUGGGGUUACAGCUCCCGGCUCAACCGGGAGAGCGCCUCGAAGACGGCAGCACUUGAGGGCCAGAGAGGGACACGGAACUCCGGGUGGAGUGGUGAAAUGCGUAGAUAUCCGGAAGAACACCAAAGGCGAAGGCAGUGUCCUGGCUGGUACCUGACGCUCAGGUGCGAAAGCUAGGGGAGCGAACGGGAUUAGAUACCCCGGUAGUCCUAGCCGUAAACGAUGACCACUAGGUGUGCGGGGUAUCGACCCCCUGCGUGCCGCAGCCAACGCAAUAAGUGGUCCGCCUGGGGAGUACGGUCGCAAGAUUAAAACUCAAAGGAAUUGACGGGGACCCGCACAAGCAGCGGAGCGUGUGGUUUAAUUCGAAGCAACGCGAAGAACCUUACCAGGGUUUGACAUGCCGUCGCACCUCCUGGAGACAGGAGUCCCUUCGGGGCGGCGGCACAGGUGCUGCAUGGCUGUCGUCAGCUCGUGCCGUGAGGUGUUGGGUUAAGUCCCGCAACGAGCGCAACCCCUGUCGUCGGUUGGAUCUCUCCGACGAGACUGCCGCGAUCAACGUGGAGGAAGGUGGGGAUGACGUCAAGUCAGCACGGCCCUUACAUCCUGGGCGACACACACGCU
This 1197-nucleotide ribosomal RNA is filed under the name Chloroflexota bacterium. Its description in RNAcentral is "bacterial SSU rRNA". It matches the Rfam family "Bacterial small subunit ribosomal RNA", at positions 1 to 1226 of the family's 1533-position model. The record is from RNAcentral. Lineage: Bacteria; Bacillati; Chloroflexota.